Pelobates cultripes (western spadefoot toad) is the source of this 157-nucleotide non-coding RNA. Lineage: Eukaryota; Metazoa; Chordata; Amphibia; Anura; Pelobatidae. The record is from the annotation of a GenBank genome assembly.
GCAGACACAUUCCAGCCAAUCAGCAGCAGACGCUCCCUCCCAGACCCUCCCACCUCCUGGACAGCAUCCAUUGUGAAGCUGCAUUCUUAGAGAGCAGUCCAGGAGGUGGGAGGGUCUGGGAGGGAGCGUCUGCUGCUGAUUGGCUGGAAUGUGUCUG